UAAGCCACAGUCUAUCGAUCGCUAAUCUGCCCCGCAGUAAUAAUAAAAAAAAGAAAACAGCCUGCCCGCACGAUCUCCUCCUUCUCCGGCACGACCUCCUCCUCCUCCUCCCACAGCCGCGCCGUUCGCCUCCUGCAGCCGCGCCCUUCACAGCCUCCUCGCGCAGCCGGAGCCACGGGAAGCGGCCGCGGGUCGCCGGGAGCCUCCCCAGCCGCGGGAGCCCGCCCCCGCUGCGGGUCGCCGGGAGCCUCCCCUGCCGCCCCCUUCGCCGCCUCCCCAGCCGCAGCUUGGCCGCUGCCACACCGCCUCCGCCACGCCGCCACUCCGCGGGCCACGCCUCGAUUCCUUCAUCCUCUUCCCGAGCCGCUGGCGUCCGUCACGCGCCCCCUACUCUUCUCCUCCAACCUGGCCAGUCCCCACACCCGGAGCCCCUGCGGAUCGAGGCGUCUUCCACGCAGAGGACGACGCGGGGAACCUCCAUUGCCCUCCAUUCUGACGGCCGCCCUACAGCUGCCCCGACACGAUGGUUCUCCUCUAUUGUUCUGAUCGAGCGACGUGUUCAUUUUUUAUAUUUUUUCUGUGGCAGAUCAUGACGACGACCCUGACAGGAGAGGAGGAGGAGGACACGGAGAAGAAGGACCGAGAGUUAGACAUGGAUGUGCAUUAUGAGGCAACACGCCGCCGUGUUUGCCCCACCAUCUUCUGAUCUCUUCAGCAUUCCUGUUGUCUUGGGUUUUCUCUGUAAGUUUGGGUCCGUAGGCACACACCCUCAUAAUCUCUGUCGCUCCCUCUAAUUUCUGUGGACAUACAGACACACGCAGUGUUUAGAACGAUGUCCGCUUCAGAGUUUCAGUUCAACUCACCCAGACAGAAAUACAUUCUAUCACUGGCUAAGCAUAGUACGAACUGGGUGGACAUGGAGUCAAGGACAUGGUAAGGAAGUCAAGCAAGUGGUUGAUUUGCUCUCUUCUUCGUUUCACCAUGCUGCACCCCUUCUAGCUUAUUAGUCGCCUCUUUCAUCUCUUUUCACUGUACUAACCUGCCAAUAUUUUCCCAUCUUUGCAACGAUUGACAUGUUUAGUUUUAGUUUUACAGUAGACCAGAAUGUAUGCUGAUCUACAGUGAUUCUUAAUUGUACAUGGUCUUCUCAACUUCAAGGUCAUAACCGAUUCAGUUUUGUUUAUAAUCUAUUUUCCCUAUCACUUUUUAACUCUUGAAUUCGCCAGGCCAACCAUCCUACAGUAGUGUAGGAAUUCAGUUAGCACGUCAUAACAUGUUAUUCUCUUUCGAUAAUGCUUUUGUUGGAUUUUUUAGGAACAAGGUGGCGAAAAAAUAAGUGGUUGUGGAAGCAAUGGUUUGUUUGGGGAGGUGGAGAACGUUUUUAUGUUAUUUUUGGUAGGCAUGAAGACACCCAUUUCUAUUUGUUCAUAGUAAUUCACUCCAGGCUUCUGAUUGGAUCAUUACAUUGAUGUUCCAGCUGCUGGGCUACAUGGAGUUGUUUUUGUUUAAAACAUAUGAUCUUGACGCUACCCAUUUUUCCCUGUCAACAUUAGCUUUCUCUCUGCCAUUCAGAAUUGUUCAGGACAAAACCAUGCAGAUAUAGACCUUUAGUAUCCUUCUCAUUGAUGAAAUUUAUUUCCAUCUAUCCAGUAG
This 1653-nucleotide ribosomal RNA is filed under the name Triticum aestivum (bread wheat). RNAcentral describes it as "partial small subunit ribosomal RNA". Lineage: Eukaryota; Viridiplantae; Streptophyta; Magnoliopsida; Poales; Poaceae. The record is from RNAcentral.